This 531-nucleotide ribosomal RNA is filed under the name uncultured fungus. RNAcentral describes it as "SSU rRNA". It matches the Rfam family "Eukaryotic small subunit ribosomal RNA", at positions 289 to 822 of the family's 1831-position model. The record is from RNAcentral. Lineage: Eukaryota; Fungi.
GAUGGUUCAUUCAAAUUUCUAGCCCUAUCAACUUUCGAUGGUAGGAUAGUGGCCUACCAUGGUUUUGACGGGUAACGGGGAAUUAGGGUUCUAUUCCGGAGAGGGAGCCUGAGAAACGGCUACCACAUCCAAGGAAGGCAGCAGGCGCGCAAAUUACCAAUCCCAAUACGGGGAGGUAGUGACAAUAAAUACUGGAUACAGGGCUCUUUUGGGUCUUGUAAUUGGAAUGAGAACAAUUUAAAUCCCUUAACGAGGAACAAUUGGAGGGCAAGUCUGGUGCCAGCAGCCGGCGGUAAUUCCAGCUCCAAUAGCGUAUAUUAAAGUUGGUUGCAGUUAAAAAGCUCGUAGUUGAACUUUGGGUCUGGCUGAUCUGUCCUCCUAAUCGAGCGCACGGGAUUCGGUCGGACCUUUCCUUCUGGGGAACCCUAUGCCCUUCACUGGGCGUAAUGGGGAACCAGGACUUUUACCUUGAAAAAAUUAGAGUGUUCAAAGCAGGCCUUUGCUCGAAUACAUUAGCAUGGAAUUAUAGAA